UUGAGCGGAGAUAUAUGGAGCUUGCUUUAUAUAACUUAGCAGCGAACGGGUGAGUAACACGUAGAUAAUCUAUCCUAUACUGGGGGAUAGCCCGAUGAAAGUUGGAUUAAUACCGCAUAUAGCUAUAUAGUUGCAUGAUUAUGUAGUGAAAGAUUUAUUGGUAUAGGAGGAGUCUGCGGCACAUUAGCUAGUAGGUGAGGUAAAGGCUUACCUAGGCGACGAUGUGUAGCCGGUCUGAGAGGAUGAACGGCCACAAUGGAACUGAGACACGGUCCAUACUCCUACGGGAGGCAGCAGUGGGGAAUAUUGCACAAUGGGGGAAACCCUGAUGCAGCAACGCCGCGUGAGUGAAGAAGGUUUUCGGAUUGUAAAGCUCUGUUAGCAGGGAAGAGGAAGGACGGUACCUGCAGAGGAAGCCACGGCUAACUACGUGCCAGCAGCCGCGGUAAUACGUAGGUGGCAAGCGUUGUUCGGAAUAACUGGGCGUAAAGGAUGCGUAGGCGGUUAAACAAGUUAUAUGUUAAAUAUAUAGGCUUAACCUGUAGAAAGCAUAUAAAACUGUUUAACUAGAGUGCAGGAGAGGUAAGUGGAAUUCCUAGUGUAGCGGUGAAAUGCGUAGAGAUUAGGAAGAACACCAGUGGCGAAGGCGACUUACUGGACUGUAACUGACGCUGAGGCAUGAGAGCAUGGGGAGCAAACAGGAUUAGAUACCCUGGUAGUCCAUGCUGUAAACGAUGGGUACUAGGUGUGGGUUGUGAAUAACAAUUCGUGCCGUC
Molecule: ribosomal RNA, 776 nt
Filed under: uncultured bacterium
Lineage: Bacteria
Description: bacterial SSU rRNA
Rfam family: Bacterial small subunit ribosomal RNA
Source: RNAcentral